UGGGGAAUAUUGGACAAUGGGCGGAAGCCUGAUCCAGCCAUGCCGCGUGUGUGAAGAAGGCCUUUUGGUUGUAAAGCACUUUAAGCGAGGAGGAGGCUACUUGGAUUAAUACUCUAGGAUAGUGGACGUUACUCGCAGAAUAAGCACCGGCUAACUCUGUGCCAGCAGCCGCGGUAAUACAGAGGGUGCGAGCGUUAAUCGGAUUUACUGGGCGUAAAGCGUGCGUAGGCGGCUUUUUAAGUCGGAUGUGAAAUCCCUGAGCUUAACUUAGGAAUUGCAUUCGAUACUGGGAAGCUAGAGUAUGAGAGAGGAUGGUAGAAUUCCAGGUGUAACGGUGAAAUGCGUAGAGAUCUGGGGGAAUACCGAUGGCGAAGGCAGCCAUCUGGCCUAAUACUGACGCUGAGGUACGAAAGCAUGGGGAGCAAACAGG
RNAcentral lists this ribosomal RNA (430 nucleotides) under Bacillota bacterium. RNAcentral describes it as "Firmicutes bacterium partial 16S ribosomal RNA". It matches the Rfam family "Bacterial small subunit ribosomal RNA", at positions 355 to 776 of the family's 1533-position model. The record is from RNAcentral. Lineage: Bacteria; Bacillati; Bacillota.